RNAcentral lists this microRNA precursor (107 nucleotides) under Musa acuminata subsp. malaccensis (wild Malaysian banana). Its description in RNAcentral is "MIR168 microRNA precursor family". It matches the Rfam family "MIR168 microRNA precursor family". The record is from Rfam by way of RNAcentral. Lineage: Eukaryota; Viridiplantae; Streptophyta; Magnoliopsida; Zingiberales; Musaceae.
GACGCCGCCGCCUCUAGUUCGCUUGGUGCAGGUCGGGGCCGCCCGGAUCCGCCCACGGACGGGCCGGAUCCCGCCUUGCACCAACUGAAUCGGAGCCGGAGGGCGAC